AUUGAACGCUGGCGGCAUGCCUUACACAUGCAAGUCGAACGGCAGCACGGGUUCUUUCACCUGGUGGCGAGUGGCGCACGGGUGAGUAAUACAUCGGAACAUGUCCUGUUGUGGGGGAUAGCCCGGCGAAAGCCGGAUUAAUACCGCAUACUAUCUACGUAUGAAAGCGGGUUUCCUUCUGGCCUCGCCCUUUACUGUUGUCCGAUAUCUGAUUAGCUAGUUGUUGGGGUAAAGGCCUACAAAGGCGACGAUCAGUAGCUGGUCUUAGAGGACGACCAGCAAAACUGGGAAUGAGAAACGGCCCAGACUCCUACGGGAGGAAGAAGUGGGGAAUUUUGGAAAAUGGGCGAAAGCCUGAUCAAGCAAUGCGGCGUGUGGGAAGAAGGCCUUCGGGUUGUAAAGCACUUUUGUACGGAAAGAAAUAAUUGGCUCUAAUAAAGUCGGGGGAUGACGGUAACGGAAGAAUAAGCAACGGCUAACUACGUG
RNAcentral lists this ribosomal RNA (486 nucleotides) under uncultured bacterium. RNAcentral describes it as "partial 16S ribosomal RNA". It matches the Rfam family "Bacterial small subunit ribosomal RNA", at positions 30 to 507 of the family's 1533-position model. The record is from RNAcentral.